This 493-nucleotide ribosomal RNA is filed under the name uncultured bacterium. Its description in RNAcentral is "bacterial SSU rRNA". It matches the Rfam family "Bacterial small subunit ribosomal RNA", at positions 28 to 507 of the family's 1533-position model. The record is from RNAcentral.
GACGAACGCUGGCGGCGUGCCUAACACAUGCAAGUCGAACGGGGUAAGACGCUGAAACGAGAUUAGUUUACUAAAGGAAUUUCUUGUUUUACCUAGUGGCGGACGGGUGAGUAACGCGUGAGCAACCUGCCUUACAGAGGGGGACAACAGUUGGAAACGACUGCUAAUACCGCAUAAUGUACCGAGAGGACAUCCAUUUGGUACCAAAGGAGCAAUCCGCUGUAAGAUGGGCUCGCGUCCGAUUAGAUAGUUGGCGGGGUAACGGCCCACCAAGUCGACGAUCGGUAGCCGGACUGAGAGGUUGAACGGCCACAUUGGGACUGAGACACGGCCCAGACUCCUACGGGAGGCAGCAGUGGGGGAUAUUGCACAAUGGGGGAAACCCUGAUGCAGCAACGCCGCGUGAGGGAUGAAGGUUUUCGGAUUGUAAACCUCUGUCCUAAGUGAAGAGCAGAAGACGGUAGCUUAGGAGGAAGCCCCGGCUAACUACGUG